This 1504-nucleotide ribosomal RNA is filed under the name Microbacterium paraoxydans. Its description in RNAcentral is "bacterial SSU rRNA". It matches the Rfam family "Bacterial small subunit ribosomal RNA". The record is from RNAcentral. Lineage: Bacteria; Bacillati; Actinomycetota; Actinomycetes; Micrococcales; Microbacteriaceae.
CCGUGACAGCAUCAUACACAUGCAAGUCGAACGGUGAAGCAGGACCUUGCUCUUGUGGAUCCGUGGCAAAGGGGUGAAUAACACAUGAACAACCUGCCCCUGACUCUGGGAUAAUCGCUGGAAACGGCGUCUAAUACUGGAUAUGUGACGUGACCGCAUGGUCUGCGUUUGGAAAGAUUUUUCGGUUGGGGAUGGGCUCGCAGCCUAUCAUCUUGUUGGUGAGGUAAUGGCUCACCAAGGCGUCGACGGGUAGCCGGCCUGAGAGGGUGACCGGCCACACUGGGACUGAGACACGGCCCAUACUCCUACGGGAGGCAGCAGUGGGGAAUAUUGCACAAUGGGCGAAAGCCUGAUGCACCAACGCCGCGUGAGGGAUGACCGCCUUCGGGUUGUAAACCUCUUUUAACAGGGAACAAUCGAAAGUGACGGUACCUGCAUAAAAAGCCCCGGCUAACUACCUGCCACCAACCUCGGUAAUACGUAGGGCGCAAGCGUUAUCCGGAAUUAUUGGGCGUAAAGAGCUCGUACGCGGUUUGACCACCGGACGCGCGGUGAAAUCCCUAGGCUCAACCUCGUGGCCUGCAGUGCGUUCACAGAGCACACUAGAGUGACGGUAAGCGAGAUUGGAAUUACAUGGCUGUAGCAAUCGGAAUGCAGCAGAUAUCAAGGAGGAAACAACCGACUGGCGAAGGACAGCACCUCUCUGGACCCGUAAACUGACGAUGAGGGAGCGAAAGGCUGAGGGAGCAAACACGCAUUAGAUACCAUCGUAGUCCACCCCCGUAAAACGAUUGGGAACUAAUUCGUGGGGUCCAUAUCCCACUGGAGUCUCUGUGACAGCAGCCUAACGCAUUAAGCUUCACCCGACCUAGGGGAGUACCGGCCGGCAGAAGCUAAUGAAACUUCAAAGGAAAUUGACACCUGAGAGUAGCCACGUCGACCAGCGGCGGAGCCUGCGGAUUAAUUUGAUGCAACGCGAAGAACCUUACCAAGGCUUGAAAUAUACGAGAACGGGCCAGAAAUGGUCAACUCUUUUGACAAUCUUAAACAGGUGGUGCAUGGUUGUGUUCAGAUCGUGUCUUGAGAUGUUGGGUUAAGUCCCGCAACGAGCGCAACCCUCUUUUUAUUUUGCCAGCACGUAAUGGUGGGAACUCAUGGGAUAGAGCCGGGGUCAACUAGGAGGAAGGGGGGGAGGAGGUCAAAUCUUCAUGCCCCCUAUGUGUUGGGCUUCACGCAUGCUACAAUGGCCGGUACAAAGGGGUGCAAUACCGUGAGGUGGAGAGAAUCCCAAAAAGCCGGUCCCAGUUUGGAUUGAGGUCUGCAACUCGACCUCAUGAAGUCGGAGUCGCUAGUAAUCGCAGAUCAGCAACGGUGCGGUGAAUAAGUUCCCGGGUCUUGUACACACCGCCCGUCAAGUCAUGAAAGUCGGUAACACCCGAAGCCGGUGGCUUAACCCUUGUGGAGGGAGCCGUCGAAGGUGGGAUUUGGUAAUUAGGAGUAAGUU